RNAcentral lists this ribosomal RNA (253 nucleotides) under uncultured bacterium. Its description in RNAcentral is "partial 16S ribosomal RNA". It matches the Rfam family "Bacterial small subunit ribosomal RNA", at positions 524 to 776 of the family's 1533-position model. The record is from RNAcentral.
UACGUAGGGGGCAAGCGUUGUCCGGAUUCAUUGGGCGUAAAGAGCUCGUAGGCGGUUCGUACAGUCAGACGUGAAAUUCCCGGGCUCAACCUGGGGGCUGCGUUUGAUACGUACGGGCUUGAGUUCGGAAGAGGGUCGUGGAAUUCCCAGUGUAGAGGUGAAAUUCGUAGAUAUUGGGAAGAACACCGGUGGCGAAGGCGGCGACCUGGUCCGAUACUGACGCUGAGGCGCGAAAGCGUGGGGAGCAAACAGG